UACGUAGGGGCAAGCGUUAUCCGGAUUUACUGGGUGUAAAGGGAGCGUAGACGGCACAGCAAGUCUGAUGUGAAAACCCGCGGCUCAACUGCGGGAUUGCAUUGGAAACUGUUGAGCUUGAGUACUGGAGGGGCAGGCGGAAUUCCUGGUGUAGCGGUGGAAUGCGUAGAUAUCAGGAGGAACACCGGUGGCGAAGGCGGCCUGCUGGACAGUAACUGACGCUGAGGAGCGAAAGCGUGGGUAGCAAACAGGAUUAGAUA
RNAcentral lists this ribosomal RNA (260 nucleotides) under uncultured prokaryote. RNAcentral's name for it is "partial 16S ribosomal RNA". It matches the Rfam family "Bacterial small subunit ribosomal RNA", at positions 524 to 784 of the family's 1533-position model. The record is from RNAcentral.